GUACUGAUGAAGAGUCCUAAACUAGGACGAAACAGAUGUCCAGUAC
Molecule: non-coding RNA, 46 nt
Filed under: Trichobilharzia regenti
Lineage: Eukaryota; Metazoa; Platyhelminthes; Trematoda; Strigeidida; Schistosomatidae
Source: RNAcentral